RNAcentral lists this long non-coding RNA (833 nucleotides) under Pogona vitticeps (central bearded dragon). RNAcentral's name for it is "lncRNA (ENSPVIG00000011216.1)". The record is from RNAcentral. Lineage: Eukaryota; Metazoa; Chordata; Lepidosauria; Squamata; Agamidae.
CUGCUUCCCAUUAUAAAGUAACUUGGUUGCUGUGUAUCUGAAGUUAUGCUAGUAGACAAUGCAAUUUUCUAUGCCUUAAAUUGCAAAAUGGUCUUGGGUUGGCCCUUGUUUUGCAUCUGCCAGAACUAUUUGGCUAAAGCAUCUGCCAGCAUUUCGUCUCCCAGUAAAACAUUUACACAAGAAUUUGUCCUCUUCUUUUGUUGACAGUUCAGGGUUUGAGAGCAUUAACUCCUAAUUCAGAGAACUCCAGAAUUUCAUAUGGUUCUGCAGUCCUCUUUAGUUCUCAGUGCUCAUUUCAGAUAUUGCCCAUCACGAAUCAAUCAGGAUGCAUAAGCUGCUGCUUCUCGGCCUCUCUGCUUUGCUCUUCUGCACUAUUGACAAGGAGCUCUAUUACGUCAGUUACGAUUGCCUCCAUCAUGACUAUUUGAUAUGGUAUUGCAAUAAAACUGAAAAGGACGAAAGAUACACCCAUGUUGCGACUUGCUGUGAGACUGAUAAAUGCAAUGGAGAAAUACCCCGUCUGCCUUGGAGCUGAAAUUAAAUGAUUGAAAAGAUCCAGAGAGGGUUGUAAGCUGGCUCUUCUCAAAGAAAAGGACUGCAAACUCACUCUGCUCCCCUUUCUUCAACAUUUGAAUUUUUAAAAAAUUUAACAGAUUGGUCAGAUGUGUGGUGUAGAAAUGGAAUCAAUCAAUCAAUUGAUCGAUCAAUCAAUCAAUCAAAUUGAUGCAAAAACACAAUUUUGAGAUGAAAUUAAAACAAUGAAGGCUUUUGCAUUGGUAAUAAGAGCCACUGUUGAAUCAGGUUUUUCUUAAAUAAAAAUGGUUUUAAAAACA